GCCAAGGGACAGACUUUUAAAGCUUUUUAGGUGCCUGAAGAUGGGCUAAUAUUGUAGCCUAAAGCACUUUGUCCAAAGUCACCCAAGGACCUGAGCCAGAUGUCCUGAGUCCUAGGUGAAAACCCCAACCCUGGGCAUCCUUCCUGUGGCCCAUGGUCUGCUUCACACGCUACUGAGCAGUCAUCGGACAGUGGCAACGGUUCUCCACCCACCCAGUUUGGAUUCAGCUUGCACAUGCAACUCGGAUCAAGCUAUGGCCGUGCAAUGACAAAGAAACGUUCAUCCCCGAGAGAAGCGUGUAGAAUCCCUGCCCAGAACCAUCCUGGAAACGAGAAGAGAGAGUUUUAAAAACAAGACCGUGUGCAGCGCGAGCUCCCAGCCAGGUCCCUCUGCCAGCGUCUGGGCUGACCCUUGGGUUGAUCAGUAAUGCAUUCCUACAGGACACAUGCAUCCAUGUCCUUAGUCCAGCCUGCACGGAAGGGACAGAUUCCAUUGUCCAAAGUCUCAUUAGGCACGUUCCUGCUGACGCUGUUGCUUCCCCUUGAAAUAGGCUCCCCUCCCGUUCCUGCGGAGAGACACUCUCCCUCUCCACACUGUUAGUCUUUGCAGCCGAGCUUCACCUGGCGCCUUCCAUACAUUAAUAGAGCUUCCUUCCUGGUGUUCUGCAGCAGGAAGGCAAUUAAAGGGUUAACCACA
Long non-coding RNA from Mauremys reevesii (Reeves's turtle), 696 nucleotides. RefSeq lists it as uncharacterized. The transcript has 2 exons. The record is from RefSeq and is a predicted model, not a curated record. Lineage: Eukaryota; Metazoa; Chordata; Testudines; Geoemydidae.